Molecule: long non-coding RNA, 1211 nt
Organism: Mesocricetus auratus (golden hamster)
Lineage: Eukaryota; Metazoa; Chordata; Mammalia; Rodentia; Cricetidae
Exons: 4
Source: RefSeq, a predicted model, not a curated record
GCUUGGCCAGUGAGCCAGGACCCCAGCCUGGGGUAGAACACCCGUGCAAACCUGCCUGACUCACCGCUGAGAUCCACCGCAUCCCCAGGGGGACACUGCUACCUCUGCCCACUGGGUUCAUCUCUGCUCUAGUCCCCACUGAACCUUUGAAUCCUAUCUCACCACUUGUUCCUUCUCUCAUCUUUCUCCUCCCUCUGAGGAAGUUGUGAUACCAGCAUGCCGUGUUUCAAAGCCCACCGAAGCUCCCUGCGAUGGUCUACACCUGACUUAAGAGAUCCAUGAGAACAGGACCCCAGACCUUCAACACUGGAGCUGUGCUGGAGAGCUGGUGGCCCAGCUGCCUGAGAACCUCUGCCCAAGUUCUCUGAAGACAGAGGCUGUCAUUAUGUGAGCGCCAAUAAGCCAGGCCGAAUCGUGGACACAAUAUAUCACUGUUCAGCGCUGCCAGAAUUGGAGCAUAAAGACCACUUAACUCGAAGCAAAAUCUGGGAGCCCACAAAUUAGUCACCACAGAGAUGCCAAGACCAUGUUAGGCUAUUCACUGCACUCAACAGUAUUACACAUCUGAAUGGGUUUAAGGCUCCUUGGAGGGGUGCGUGGGGGAAUUCGAUCGCUGCUUCUGUUGCAGGCGCUGGUGGCCACUAACUCUCCUCUCCUGCUGUGGCAUAGUACAUGGCAGUCCCAGUGCCUCCAAAUGCCUUUCUAGCCCUGUUGCUACGUUGACCUCCACCUACCAGCUCCCAGUGACACGUCUGCAUUUAGGUCUGCAUUUUGCCACAUCUCUGGUGUCCCCGUCUCAAGGAUAAUGGAGAAUGUGAAGUGUACAGUUCAAUGGGAAGCUAUUUCACCAUAUCAUCUGCUCAGGCAGAGAGUCAAGGUUGUAGGGGCGUGGACUACGUGUUAAUGUUACUACAGUGUGGACUAUGGGAAGAACACAAGGAUGUGUGUGAGAGCAAUUUCAUUAAAAGUCCAUUAUGGCUUGGCUGUGUGGUGAGCCAUGCAAGCUAAUGACCAGGUAUUGUCAAAUACUCAAAGGCUCUUGGCUCACCUCCCUGAAUAAUAAACUGACUUGCUUCCUGGGGGAUGUAUGUUUUUAAGUACACUUAGGAAGGCAGUGUCAGAGUUUUAAUCAUGUAUAUAUCAUUUUGUUGUCAUUCUUCAGUAUCAUCUAAAUUAUUUAAUAGACAAAUAAAAUACACACAUGCACACAA